RNAcentral lists this unclassified non-coding RNA (688 nucleotides) under Melitaea cinxia (Glanville fritillary). RNAcentral describes it as "misc RNA ENSMCXG00005016102.1". The record is from RNAcentral. Lineage: Eukaryota; Metazoa; Arthropoda; Insecta; Lepidoptera; Nymphalidae.
GGGUAUUCAUUGGCAUGGCCGAGGCUAGUUUAACCAGUCUUGACCCACGCUUGGAUCUUCAAUGAAUGGCCAAGACUAGGUUAGCCAGUGUUGGCCCAAGGUUGGCUGAUCAUUGGCAUGGCCGAGGCUGGGUUAACCAGUCUUGGCCCACGCUUGGAUCUCCAAUGAAUGGCCAAGGCUGGGUUAGCCAGUGUUGGCCCAAGGUUGGCUGAUUAUUGGCAUGGCCGAGGCUGGGUUAAACAGUCUCGGCCCACGCUUGGAUCUCCAAUGAAUGGCCAAGGCUGGGUUAGCCAGUGUUGGCCCAAGGUUGGCUGAUUAUUGGCAUGGCCGAGGCUGGGUUAAACAGUCUCGGCCCACGCUUGGAUCUCCAAUGAAUGGCCAAGGCUGGGUUAGCCAGUCUUGGUUUAAGGUUGGGUGAUCAUUGGCAUGGCCGAGGGUGGGUUAACCAGUCUUGGCCCACGCUUGGAUCUCCAAUGAAUGGCCAAGGCUGGGUUAGCCAGUCUUGGCUCAAGGAUGGGUGAUCAUUGGCAUGGCCGAGGGUGGGUUAACCAGUCUUGGCCCACGCUUGGAUCUCCAAUGAAUGGCCAAGGCUGGGUAACCCAGUCUUGGCCCAAGGAUGGGUGAUCAUUGGCAUGGCCGAGGGUGGGUUAUCCAGUCUUGGCCCACGCUUGGAUCUCCAAUGAAUGGC